RNAcentral lists this ribosomal RNA (467 nucleotides) under uncultured bacterium. RNAcentral describes it as "partial 16S ribosomal RNA". It matches the Rfam family "Bacterial small subunit ribosomal RNA", at positions 29 to 502 of the family's 1533-position model. The record is from RNAcentral.
AACGAACGCUGGCGGCAGGCCUAACACAUGCAAGUCGAACGCCGUAGCGAUACGGAGUGGCAGACGGGUGAGUAACGCGUGGGAACAUACCCCUCGGUUCGGAAUAACUCAGGGAAACUUGAGCUAAUACCGGAUACGUCCAAGGUUUUAAUCGACCUUGGAGAAAGAUUUAUCGCCGGAGGAUUGGCCCGCGUCUGAUUAGCUUGUUGGUGAGGUAAUGGCUCACCAAGGCGACGAUCAGUAGCUGGUCUGAGAGGAUGAUCAGCCACAUUGGGACUGAGACACGGCCCAAACUCCUACGGGAGGCAGCAGUGGGGAAUAUUGGACAAUGGGCGAAAGCCUGAUCCAGCGAUGCCGCGUGUGUGAAGAAGGCCUGCGGGUUGUAAAGCACUUUCAGUAGGGAAGAAAUGCUUGGAGCUAACACCGCCAAGUUUUGACGUUACCUACAGAAGAAGCACCGGCUAACU